CAAGAUAUUUGCCGGAGAAAAACCUUAAAGGCUGGAAAUGUAGGCAUCCGGGGCACUGACGCGCUCUCUCCGGAUCUCCUCACUCAUUGGCUGCGGGUAUCUCGCACAGCGAACGGACCGCCUUGUCGUCUCGGUCCCCGUAGGCCGUCAUCGUGCUUCCUUUGGAGACUGUAAUUACUCCUAAAAGCUUGGUCGAUAUGUUUGUUUGCUCCUUAGCUGCCUGAGAAUUUUUGAGAAGUAGCAGUAAGGUGUAUGAACUGAAAAAACAAAACAAAACAAAACCCCACAACAUAAGAGCUGGUGUACUGCUGGUCAGUGGCUACAGUGGCUAAUGACUUGAUCCUUGUAGAAGUGGAUGGUGUGCAACAUUCUUUGUUUUGCAAGGGCUUAAGCCUUUUAAAAUAAUUUUAGGACUUUAAAGAUUUCUCUGGUGCCAGUAUGUAUUAUAAAAUGUCCAAGAGAAUCCAGUCAUCCCUUCUGAUGCUUACCAAACCUGAAAGUGGUAGGAAUAAACAUCUAAUGGUGCAGCCCUGACCAAGUGUUGGAUGGGGACUAGUGGUUUCCCACUCCUCCUCUUUGGGGUGACUUCCUAAAAUAGACUGUCUGUUAAUAAGCUUUUGUCUCCAGCUCUGCUUUUGGAGAGGACCCAUGCUGAAACAAAUUGAAAUAUGUUGAAUAUGUGUGCAUUCUCACUGAAUAUCUUUUUUUUUAAAUUAAACCUUCAAAAAAUGAAAUUCAUCAUAUCUCAGAAUUUUAUGGACUACAUGCUCUAUUAAUAGAAAAAGAAAAGACAAUUUUACAGGCUGUAAGUUUGAAGAUGUUGUCAAUUAGGAAGGAUGAUUUCCUUGUGCAAUAAUUGCUGGCAUUUCCAUCAAAUUACAUUUUUACAUUACAUCGUCUAAAAUGCAAGCCUUUCUAAACAAUUUCAAUUUUCAUUAAACUUUGACACUUUAGAUGAUGCAUGUGAGCACUAAGUGACUUAUUUUGCUCA
Balaenoptera musculus (blue whale) is the source of this 991-nucleotide long non-coding RNA. RefSeq lists it as uncharacterized. The record is from RefSeq and is a predicted model, not a curated record. Lineage: Eukaryota; Metazoa; Chordata; Mammalia; Artiodactyla; Balaenopteridae. The transcript has 5 exons.